Molecule: long non-coding RNA, 711 nt
Organism: Zea mays
Lineage: Eukaryota; Viridiplantae; Streptophyta; Magnoliopsida; Poales; Poaceae
Exons: 3
Source: RefSeq, a predicted model, not a curated record
AGUCUUGCUAGUGCCACUGCAGAUGUCCACUGUUAUGACGUGUUAUCAAAUAAGUGGACCAGGCUUACUCCUCUUGGCGAACCUCCUUCACCAAGAGCUGCACAUGUAGCAACUGCUGUUGGAACCAUGGUGGUCAUUCAGGGUGGAAUUGGUCCUGCUGGCUUAUCCGCUGAGGACCUUCAUGUUCUUGAUCUUACACAAUAACGAGAAGAAGAAAGAUGGAGAAGAUGAAGAUGAAGACUGGACUGGUGAGUGAGGAUGAAAAAGAGUCCACGGGAAGAGUUACCAGUGUGAAGAGACCAAAGUAUGCGACAAGAUCUAAAAGCUCAGAUAGUAGGGAAAACUCGAAGACUGGAAGUGACAGAAGUAUCGACGAAGAUGACGACACUGAGGAUGAGCAAGAUGAGACUCUGGGAGGUUUUUUAGUUAACGACGAGGAUGACGAGCCUGCGGAAGAGCUGAGCGAUGAAGAGGAGGAGGAAUUUGACUAUGAGGAAGAUGAUGAUUGAUAACCACGUCAAAAAAGAACCUUCUCAGUGAUGAACUGAUACUGACAAGUGACAAGCAGUAUGUUUAUAUUCCUUUGAACUUGUGUAAAAAUAAUGUGUGGCAACUGUGUUAGUGUUGUUAAUUCUGAAAAAUGACGUUUUUGUAUAUCUGCAUUGCUUAUCUCAGCAGUGAACCGAAUUUUCACUCAGCUGUGCUGCCAUG